This 334-nucleotide ribosomal RNA is filed under the name Sporormiella sp. NY301b. RNAcentral's name for it is "eukaryotic LSU rRNA". The stretch from base 3 to 156 matches the Rfam family "5.8S ribosomal RNA". Lineage: Eukaryota; Fungi; Ascomycota; Dothideomycetes; Pleosporales; Sporormiaceae. The record is from RNAcentral.
AAAACUUUCAACAACGGAUCUCUUGGUUCUGGCAUCGAUGAAGAACGCAGCGAAAUGCGAUAAGUAGUGUGAAUUGCAGAAUUCAGUGAAUCAUCGAAUCUUUGAACGCACAUUGCGCCCUUUGGUAUUCCUUAGGGCAUGCCUGUUCGAGCGUCAUUUAAACCUUCAAGCUCUGCUUGGUGUUGGGAUGUCACGCCUCCCUCCGCGGGGGCGUGCGCCUCAAAUGUAUUGGCGGCCGGUACGUUGGCUUCGAGCGCAGCAGAAACGCGAACUCGGGGACUCUGGAUCGGCCCUCCACAAGCUAUUUUACCAUUUUGACCUCGGAUCAGGUAGG